This 535-nucleotide long non-coding RNA is filed under the name Salvia miltiorrhiza (redroot sage). Its description in RNAcentral is "long non-coding RNA (SMIL_LNC013984)". The record is from RNAcentral. Lineage: Eukaryota; Viridiplantae; Streptophyta; Magnoliopsida; Lamiales; Lamiaceae.
AAGAACUUCCUUAGUUGGUUAUGGACUUUCACAUAUAUAUUUAUGUUUAAUGGCCUAUAUAAUAAUACAACCAUAACGUCCAUAAAUUUGGUAUUUAUAUCAAUGAGUACUGCCAUAAAAUGUUAUAUAAAUAACGAAACAUAAUGCCAUUCAUAACAUGAGAAUAUAUUUGGGAAUCUCAAUCCCUUGAACUACUAACCUCGCUUAAUUAUUUUCAUUUAGCGAGUUCGGCUCUGCCUCAUUGCUUACUUCUAUAUUUUUAAGUGCUUCUGGCACACUAAUAUAAUUUGUUUUGGAUCCAAAUAAUCUUCAAGUUGAACUAACAAUUUGUUGAGGCAAAAGUUGUUGUCGACAACUAUAAUUUUUUCUAUUAUACGAUUCUCACGUAUUCACAAAGUUCAUGGCAACUUUAGUAAAACCAAAUUUUCACCAUUUCCCAUAAUAUUUGGUCUAGUUGUUUCGUAAUCCCAAUAUUACGAUAAUUUAGUGCACGUGCAAAAUGUAUUGGGAUUAUCGUCUUCAGGACGAUCCUCUU